AAAACAUUCUGAACAGGAAUAAACACUGAUUUCAUAUAUCAGUGAACAUCAAGGUAUAUUACCACAAGAGGUGGCCUUGGCCAUGGGGGCACACCUCCUCCCAUUACAAAAAUUGUCUGUUCGAUGGACACUUGAAAAAUACCAGGAAAUGUGAAGAAGAGUGUGACAGGAGAGAAGGAGGAAAAGCUCAGUAGAAAAUUCUCCUUUGUGACACGGCCCAGUCAACAUGUCAGCCUCAUUUUUUUGACAUGUGUCCUGAGCCUCAAGGGCAAAAAUUAUUUCCAGUCUACGGGCUGCUCCCGACAAGCCUCUGUGCUCGCCUCUCUGCCAGGGGAAUAUUUCACUGUAAGGCUCAAAGGACUCUCCUCUCCUCCUGUAUCCUCCCAGUUCCAUGAGACCAGAGUCUACCACAUCCAUGUGAUGCCAACGAUGGAUCAGAUAUACACAUCUCCAUUACUGCAUGGAAAUGACUCUUGGCCUCUCCCACCACCACAAACACAGAUUGUGUCUUGUUUAUUGUUUCACACAGAAUAAGAACAGUGCCUGGGGUAUAGGAAGCGCUGCUCGAUACAUGGAUGCUCACUCCACUGCUGGACUGAGUGUCUGCAGAGGAAAAAGCAUGCCAGAUCCACCCCCACCUGGUCCUGUCUCCUGCCCUGAGCAUACCUUUGCAUGUCAGUGCAUUCCCCAGAGCCAUGCCUCAGGUGACCCAAAGUGAAGAAAGUGGGCAUUAUGAAUUGUUUGCUCUAAGAACCUAAUGGAUUUCCUCUGGAAGAUGCUUAGGAGAGCUCCCUAACAUUAUUAAAAUGCAGUGCAAAAAGAUGUUUUAUCUCCUUUGCUGCACUUUUAAAAUAGGGUCCUGUACCUGUGAGUAGGGCAGUACAGAUGAUACACAUCCCUAAUAAAAUGCUAAGAAACCACGAGUCUACACAAAGCUCUGAAGGCACCCUCGUCUGGGUAGAAUCAGUGCUUCUCGCUUUCCCACCCCACUACCAUUCCACCUGGCAGCAAAUCUUUAGUUACCUCCUUGUAAUCUCUGCAUUCCCAUGGUGGCUGUGCUACAAUCAUCCAGAAGUUCUCAGCUGGACUAGUACAAUACUCUAACUCAUCUCCCUGGAAGUGCUGGUGCUCCCUUAUCUAAACCUUCCUCCACAAUUAUCCACUAAAAUGUUUUCCACCAGAAGACCUCAGGCUGAAAUUUCACUCCCUCAUUUGUGCUUCCAUGAUACCUGAUGACCUGCCUAUACAAGAGACCUGGCAUUACCCUCCUGCCUCCCAUCUCACCCUUGAGUCGGCUACACCUCGGAGUUUUUAUCUUUGACAGUGAAGUUGUCUAUGUGGAAUUUAAAUGAGAGGGUGAUUUGGACACUUGGUAGACUCUACAGCUACAGAAAGAGAAACAUGUUCUCACACAGGAACUGGCAAAAGCCCUCACAGGGUUCCACCAGAGAAUGAAGCCCGAUGCCCUACGGCACCCCCUCUGUACAAAGUGAAUUCACUUCUCUCCUAAGCAUCUACAAAGGCGGUACUUUCAUAGCAUCACAUUUUCUAUAUUCCAUGAAUCAGAUGAGGAAGCCCAGUUGAGGAAGGCUGCCCCAAGGGAAAAACCAGUGAGAAAUGCUGAGCUUAACCUCUUUGGCUCCCCUUUUCUUUAAGAUGCUGGACAGUAUUUGUUUUGUUUUGGUUGUGCUUUGUUACCUCUUACACUUUCAAAUAUGUUUUCUUGGGACGCCUGGGUGGCUCAGUCAGUGAAGCGCCUGCCUUCAGCUCAGGUCAUGAUCCCGGGGUCCCGGGGUCGAGCCCCACAGUGGACUCCCUGCCCAAUGAGGAGUCUGCUUCACCCUCUGCCUCUGCCCCUCCCCCAUCAUGCCUGCUCCU
Long non-coding RNA from Canis lupus familiaris (dog), 1878 nucleotides. RefSeq lists it as uncharacterized. Lineage: Eukaryota; Metazoa; Chordata; Mammalia; Carnivora; Canidae. The transcript is spliced from 6 exons. The record is from RefSeq and is a predicted model, not a curated record.